AUCUUACUUCCUGUUGAAAGUUGGUAUCAAUUUACUAAUUCUCAAAAAUCAUUCUUUUGGUGUUAUGUUUGUAAUUUCUGGGAAUAUAUGGUUGAUUUGAGAUGAACUGAUACCUUUAUAAGUUCAGCACUUUCACCCAGGAAUAUGACAUGCUUUCCAUUCACUCACAUUUAUAUCCUCUAGUCAAAGAGUUUUGUAAUUUAUUCAUUGAAAAUCUGGUUUAUUUUUCUGGUUUAUUUAUUUAUAAAUCUUAUUUAUUUGUAAGUGUUUCAAAUAUAGUUUUAUUGAAAUGGAAAUUUCCCCACAAUUCCAUAUCGUAAAGUAUUACUGCUUAUGCAGCAGAGAAACCUAAUGAUUUUUACAUGUCACUCUUAUGUUCAGCCACUUUUAUUCUUGUAUGAAUUCUAACAGUUCUACUAAUUCUCUUAAGUUGGUUGGUUGGUUUUUUAGUAGGCUAGCACAUCACUUGCA
Molecule: long non-coding RNA, 471 nt
Filed under: Marmota monax (woodchuck)
Lineage: Eukaryota; Metazoa; Chordata; Mammalia; Rodentia; Sciuridae
Source: RNAcentral